GGGGAAUUUUUCGCAAUGGGCGCAAGCCUGACGGAGCAAGACCGCGUGCGGGAGGACGGCCUAUUGGUUGUAAACCGCUUUUGAUAGGGAAGAAGUUCUGACGGUACCUAUCGAAUCAGCAUCGGCUAACUCCGUGCCAGCAGCCGCGGUAAUACGGAGGAUGCAAGCGUUAUCCGGAAUUAUUGGGCGUAAAGCGUCCGUAGGUGGUUGUUCAAGUCUGCUGUUAAAGCGUGCGGCUUAACCGCAUACCAGCAGUGGAAACUGGGCGACUAGAGUGCGGUAGGGGUCAGGGGAAUUCCCAGUGUAGCGGUGAAAUGCGUAGAUAUUGGGAAGAACACCGGUGGCGAAAGCGCCUGACUGGACCUGCACUGACAC
This 375-nucleotide ribosomal RNA is filed under the name uncultured cyanobacterium. RNAcentral describes it as "bacterial SSU rRNA". It matches the Rfam family "Bacterial small subunit ribosomal RNA", at positions 356 to 746 of the family's 1533-position model. The record is from RNAcentral. Lineage: Bacteria; Bacillati; Cyanobacteriota.